CCUGCAAGCUGAGGGAGUGGGCUCCGGCCUUGGCCAGCCCAAAAAGGGGCUCCCACAGUGCAGCAGUGGGCUGAAGGGCUCGUCACGUGCCGCCAAAGAGGGAGCCCAGGCAGAGGAAAUGCCGAGAGCAAGCCAGGGCUGUGAGGACUGCCAGCAUGCUGUCACCUCUCAAUAGGUCAGAUAAUUUCUUUAUGGCCAGCUUUACGCAGGAAGGUGGGGGUCACCAGUGCUGCGAGGGAUCCCAGGCAAGAAUGCUGAUCUUGAUGAAUAGUGCAGGUCAUAACUGCUCUCAGUUCAGAGAGAAGUUGGUUGAAUCUGUAAAUGUGGGACCUAUGAAUAUGGAGGGGCAACUGUAUACAUCACAUCAUUAUUAACCCUAGCCAUCAGAUCUCCAGAAUUUAUUCAACUUAUACUGCAAGUCAAUGCACAUAUUACACAUUCCAAUUUCUAAUGAUUCCAGAAAUCUCUAGGUAAACAAGUGCAGCUCUAUUUUCUAACAUCGACCAUAAAAUACCCCAGGAUUUGCAAUUCAAGAUAAAACAUCUUGAGCAAUUUUACCUAUUAUAUUGACUGGCAGUAUGUUUCAUAAAUAAAUAAAUAAUACAGCCAUAGUAACCAUUAAUUUCUUGUUUCUUUGGAGUAGCAUAUGCUAUGUUCAGGGUCAGAAUGAGAGGUACAUAUCAGUAUUUUUCUCCUUUGGCUUAUUUUUAGCGUAUGUAAUGUCAGGCUGACUUCUCAAAAUUAUAUAUUUUUACUUGCCCAUUUUAUGUGUACUUUUGUAACACAUGUCUAUAUAAACUGGAUAAACAAUAUUACGACAGUGGAAUAUCUGUAGUAUUUUCUACUCUUAUACAACAGACUUUGUUCAGCCUUAGAAUAUUUUCAAAUCUUGAGGAUACGCAGAUCGGCUUAGAAGAGUUCUUUUCUGUUAAUGAUUGUUAAUGCAUUUAAAGUAUUUAAAUUGUAUUAAUCUCUUGCUUGGCUUGUUUCAUCUUCUGUAUUAACUGAUGCUCAGAAAAUGCCAUGUACUCUUUACCAAA
Molecule: long non-coding RNA, 1040 nt
Organism: Symphalangus syndactylus (siamang)
Lineage: Eukaryota; Metazoa; Chordata; Mammalia; Primates; Hylobatidae
Source: RefSeq, a predicted model, not a curated record